RNAcentral lists this ribosomal RNA (497 nucleotides) under uncultured bacterium. Its description in RNAcentral is "partial 16S ribosomal RNA". It matches the Rfam family "Bacterial small subunit ribosomal RNA", at positions 28 to 509 of the family's 1533-position model. The record is from RNAcentral.
GAUGAACGCUGGCGGCGUGCCUAAUACAUGCAAGUCGAGCGAACAGAUGAGGAGCUUGCUCCUCUGACGUUAGCGGCGGACGGGUGAGUAACACGUGGAUAACCUACCUAUAAGACUGGGAUAACUUCGGGAAACCGGAGCUAAUACCGGAUAAUAUAUUGAACCGCAUGGUUCAAUAGUGAAAGACGGUUUUGCUGUCACUUAUAGAUGGAUCCGCGCCGCAUUAGCUAGUUGGUAAGGUAACGGCUUACCAAGGCAACGAUGCGUAGCCGACCUGAGAGGGUGCGCGCCCCCGGGGAACGAGAGACGGGCCCAAGCCUCCUGGGGGAGGAAGAAGUGGGAAAUCUCCGGAAGUGGGAGAAGUCCGGACGGAGCAACGCGGGGUGAGGGAUGAGGUUGUUGGUAUCAUAAAACUUUGUUAUGGGGAAAAAAAAAUUGUGUAAGUAAAUAGGCACGUUUGGAGGUUCCAAAAUAAGAAGCCCCCGCCAAACUCCGCC